CAAUGAUUCCCCCGCCCCACGUUCCGCGCUCGCGUAGCUUCUAACGAUUCUUACGCGUACCCCUUAAUGUUCUUCCGCUCCGCGCUCCACUGUGGAGCGGCUUCUGAUAUUCUUCCGCCCCGAACUUUCCCCUAUAAGAACCCCCUUCGUACGACCUUUUCUUCUGAUUUCUUUUCUCUUUCUUUCCUUAAUCAAUUCGUAAUCUGUAAUUAGGAUAGUACCAAAUCGUUAAUCGAAGUACGCCCGUUACAUCCACACAUCAAUAAAAAUGACACCAUCUGAAGCAAUGAUCGGCCGACCAACUGAACUUUGCAUAGACAUGAAACCCCCAAGCACAGAUGUGUCAAAAUCAGCAAUGAAACAAGUGGAAUGAAUGAAGCAAGCAGAGAACAAGAUCUGAGAAUGCCUGGAAGCUGUCAAAACAGCUGAGAAAAAGUAUUACAAUCAGUGUUAUAUAUCAAAAAGCUUUA
This 470-nucleotide small RNA is filed under the name Histoplasma ohiense. Its description in RNAcentral is "hypothetical lncRNA". The record is from RNAcentral. Lineage: Eukaryota; Fungi; Ascomycota; Eurotiomycetes; Onygenales; Ajellomycetaceae.